CUGACAGUUUGGCUUCCCUGUUCCAGGUGGCAAAGCCUGUGGGGUAUUCACCUACCUGCUGCAUGAAGGCAGCAUGGAGGGACUGUGGUGGAUUAUCUGCAAAGAUGGCCCAAAUUCUCUCAUCCCUGCAGGUACAUACAAGGAGUUUGCAGUUCACCCGCAAACCUCAGCGAUCCAAGCUCCCCUGGAUGACCAUCACUCACCUAGAAAAGAACAAUAACAGGACCUGUUUUGCUAAUCCAGGACUGUUCUCCAGCACUAACUCUAAAUAAUCCCUUCUGUUAGAGUCCACUUUCUGGAACCUGUUGCCUCCGUUUUCAACGUUUCCCAAACUUGGUCCGUUGUGUGAGUUGGCUGUUAAAAGUUCCAGGGAGAGGACAUCUUAUUCUUAUUGGAUCACGCACAGUGCCUGAAGCAUUCUGUUGCAUGUAGAAAUCAGUAAAUUGCAGAUGUAAGAUUCAAAACGAGACUUCACAUCUACCGACUUCAGUGAUCCUGAAAUUUGUCCACAGAGAGCAUUUAACAUAACUGUCUUCAUCAUCUCCUUCUCUAAUUAAAAACUAUGGGCCUUACAAACUGGUAGAAGAUGCAUAAUAGAAGAGCUUAUGAAGUUAAAGAUGACAGCAUAGCAACACUGGUAUCCUAGAUACAUUUGGAGAAUUCACCUGAGCUACAGGAUGUGAAAAGUUGCUAAAACCGCUGUGAGAUUCUGGCUAAGAAAAUUUCAUGAGAAGUUUUACAGAAAAAUGUGAACAGAAGAAAGAACUAGAUAUAAAUUUGAAUGGUAAUCUAAAUAAAA
This 799-nucleotide long non-coding RNA is filed under the name Pongo abelii (Sumatran orangutan). RNAcentral describes it as "lincRNA". The record is from RNAcentral. Lineage: Eukaryota; Metazoa; Chordata; Mammalia; Primates; Hominidae.